GAUGAAGAACGUAGCGAAAUGCGAUAAGUAAUGUGAAUUGCAGAAUUCAGUGAAUCAUCGAAUCUUUGAACGCACAUUGCGCCCUCUGGUAUUCCGGGGGGCAUGCCUGUUCGAGCGUCAUUAUAACCACUCAAGCUCUCGCUUGGUAUUGGGGUUCGCGGUUUCGCGGCCCCUAAAAUCAGUGGCGGUGCCUGUCGGCUCUACGCGUAGUAAUACUUCUCGCGAUUGAGUUCGAUAGGUCUACUUGCCGGUAACCCCCAAUUUUUACAGGUUGACCUCGGAUCAGGUAGGGAUACCCGCUGAACUUAAGCAUAUCAAUAAGCGGAGGA
This 329-nucleotide unclassified non-coding RNA is filed under the name soil metagenome. RNAcentral's name for it is "partial contains 5.8S ribosomal RNA, internal transcribed spacer 2, and large subunit ribosomal RNA". The stretch from base 1 to 120 matches the Rfam family "5.8S ribosomal RNA", at positions 35 to 154 of the family's 154-position model. The record is from RNAcentral.